UGUCAGCGAGGUACUUCAUGCCGGAGGCGAUGCCGCGCAGCAUCCCAACGAGCUGGAUCACAGUGAACUGCCCGUCGUUUUGCUUUGAACAGAAAAGAGGACAUUGAGUUACAACACGACUGGUUCACGAUGCUACUAGUCUCACAAUUGAUAUAAAGUCAGGAUGGAUUUCAAUAUUCUUCUUUCAGUCGAAGAUACAAAAGGCCCUGCCCUCCCAGUGAAGCCCGGGCUGCUCUGAUUGGCCAGCUGGCUCCACUCUGUUGUGAUUGGUCGACGGCUUCCAGCGCAUGUAGGAGGUUCUCUUGUGUCGGACGGACCCCAGACAUUACACUCCUGUAACGUGGCGACAUCACCAUGGUGACAUCGUCCCUUUGCCGCCGACUUUUUUAACUUUGCAGAACUUUUACAUUCACAACAAACUAGAGGAAAGAGAAAAAACUGAAACAGUUUCUCCUUUAAAAGCGUUGUGCCAUUACUUUUACGAAUUAGUUCACAUUGAAAUGCUUUUGGUUUAAGUAUCAUAUUUUAGUUUUGACAGAAUGACUGAGGGUUGUGUUGGAGUGUUGGUGUUUGUGAGGCGGCCCUCAGGACCCUGGGGGGCGGGGCUUAGCUGGGCCUGGCUCGUCUGUCUACAGCUGUUCCCCCGCAUGGCUGGCGAGGGCUUUACCCCAUGCACGGGCGGCGUCUGGAGCAGCGCUGCAGCUGUGCCUCCAACUGCGCACACCUGCACUCUCCCCACCACCCACCACGACGCCGGAGAACAGAGGAUUCCAGACUUCCACAGAAGGAUCAUGGAGCUCAGGGUCGGGGAGGCAGGAGAACACGACCGCUCCUCGGCCCAGUUCUCCCUCAAACAGUUUGCUGCUCAUUAGCCGAGCGGAUGUUUCUUCUUCUUCUACUUCAUGUACCGCAGCAAUUAAGCAGAAUGCAUUAUUCAUGAGGCCUUUCCCACAAACACACUCCGCCUCCUAAUCUGAGUUUGCAUUUAGUUUAAUUGGAAAGAUUCCUCCAAAGUCUUUGGGGUCAGAUUAGCUGGCGAAUCCCCACAGACACAUUUAGAUCUAUGUGAUUGAAGAGCUACUGUAAUUUCUAUGAAAAUCAGGUUUUACAUUAAAGCCUCAUGGCUCUGAUCCCUCUCUCCGUCCUGCAGGCGGCGGCGGGGGAGUCAGACAACACAAACCGUGUUCAGAGCUUCGACUCCGUCAGCAGUUGUUGCCACGAACUGUCACCGGGAGGUUGUGACGAGGUUCCCUGUUGUUUCCCAGAGAAUGUGCUGUCAAAUGUGUUUAGCCGACAUCUACAUAAACACAAACACCCUUCACACACGUCAGAUUCCACAAAGAGCUGAAGCUUUGUGCCUCCGAGGUCGGAGGCAGAAUAAAGAGUCUGCUGACUGCGCUUCAUGUGUUUUCUGAUGUGACCAUCAGUUUUCAACUGAGUGUUUCAACUUCAUCACACUGUCGAUUACUGUAAAUGAAAUAGGUUUAUUAACAACACAAGGUCAGACAAUAAUCUUCAUCCUUCUUUCUUCAGGACAAACGUUUCUCACUGUUCCAUUAGAUUCCGAGGUCUUUGUUGUUGGAACAGUUUGACAAGUCGCAUUAAAUAUUAAAUUCAUUUAAGAAGCAAA
Long non-coding RNA from Scophthalmus maximus (turbot), 1630 nucleotides. RefSeq lists it as uncharacterized. Lineage: Eukaryota; Metazoa; Chordata; Actinopteri; Pleuronectiformes; Scophthalmidae. The transcript has 2 exons. The record is from RefSeq and is a predicted model, not a curated record.